UACGGGGGGGGCAAGCGUUGUUCGGAAUUACUGGGCGGAAAGGGCUUGUAGGUGGCCAACUAAGUCAGACGUGAAAUCCCUCGGCUUAACCGGGGAACUGCGUCUGAUACUGGAUGGCUGGAGUGUGGGAGAGGGAUGCGGAAUUCCAGGUGUAGCGGUGAAAUGCGUAGAUAUCUGGAGGAACACCGGUGGCGAAGGCGGCAUCCUGGACCAUUACUGACGCUGAGGUGCGAAAGCGUGGGGAGCAAACAGG
This 253-nucleotide ribosomal RNA is filed under the name uncultured bacterium. RNAcentral describes it as "partial 16S ribosomal RNA". It matches the Rfam family "Bacterial small subunit ribosomal RNA", at positions 524 to 776 of the family's 1533-position model. The record is from RNAcentral.